RNAcentral lists this ribosomal RNA (165 nucleotides) under Helosciadium inundatum. Its description in RNAcentral is "5.8S ribosomal RNA". It matches the Rfam family "5.8S ribosomal RNA". From Rfam's summary of the family: 5.8S ribosomal RNA (5.8S rRNA) is a component of the large subunit of the eukaryotic ribosome. It is transcribed by RNA polymerase I as part of the 45S precursor that also contains 18S and 28S rRNA. The record is from RNAcentral. Lineage: Eukaryota; Viridiplantae; Streptophyta; Magnoliopsida; Apiales; Apiaceae. RNAcentral also lists the same sequence under 1 other name.
CCCAACGACUCUCGGCAACGGAUAUCCCGGCUCUCGCAUCGAUGAAGAACGUAGCGAAAUGCGAUACUUGGUGUGAAUUGCAGAAUCCCGUGAACCAUCGAGUCUUUGAACGCAAGUUGCGCCUGAGGCCAUCAGGCUAAGGGCACGUCUGCCUGGGUGUCACGC